Molecule: long non-coding RNA, 425 nt
Filed under: Zonotrichia albicollis (white-throated sparrow)
Lineage: Eukaryota; Metazoa; Chordata; Aves; Passeriformes; Passerellidae
Description: lncRNA (ENSZALG00000008813.1)
Source: RNAcentral
AAGAGGAGGAGCAGGGUUGAAAAGUUCAUGUACCAGAGCCUGCCCUACCUGAGGGACCCUCAGUCCCCUGUGCGCCUGGCAGCCGUCAGGUUCAUCGGGUGCGCCACGAGGCACAUGAGGGACCAGGACAUGGAGACCCAGGCUCACAUCCUCACUGGUGAGUGGCAUGUGGGGAAUCUGGGGAGGCUCUGCAGACACACGGCUUCAUCUUGGCUCUGUUUGUUUGGGUCACAGCCCUUCAGCCCUUGGAGAGAGACAAGGACAUCUCAAUCAGCUCCCUGGCAGCCCACACAGGCUUGCUCCUGAGAGCUCCAAGGGUGCAGAGAAGAUCGUGGGUCAUUCUACACACACUGUGCUGCUGGUGUCGGUGAGCUCAGCAGAGCUGCAGCUGUCUGUGCAUUAAUAAAGCUGGAGAAACACAUCCA